RNAcentral lists this ribosomal RNA (251 nucleotides) under uncultured bacterium. RNAcentral describes it as "partial 16S ribosomal RNA". It matches the Rfam family "Bacterial small subunit ribosomal RNA", at positions 524 to 773 of the family's 1533-position model. The record is from RNAcentral.
UACGUAGGGUGCAAGCGUUUAAUCGGAAUUACUGGGCGUAAAGCGUGCGCAGGCGGUUUUGUAAGUCUGUCGUGAAAUCCCCGGGCUCAACCUGGGAAUUGCGUUGGAGACUGCAAGGCUAGAAUCUGGCAGAGGGGGGUAGAAUUCCACGUGUAGCAGUGAAAUGCGUAGAGAUGUGGAGGAACACCGAUGGCGAAGGCAGCCCCCUGGGUCAAGAUUGACGCUCAUGCACGAAAGCGUGGGGAGCAAAC